GGGAAUCUCUUCUGGUGAUUCAUGUUGCUGGAGUUUUACAAGUGAGCCCAGGAUAUGGGUUAACUCAGCGAAGUUUGCACUGUGUUCCCUGGUGGAGAUGGGUGUUGGCUCCUUGCCUUGGAUGCACAAUGCUUGCUUUGUCUGCUUGAGAUUUCCAAGCAUGAUCCCUAUGAAGAGCAGAACUCCUACAGUACGAUUUGAAGCAAAUUUCUUCCAACAGUCUUCAGGCUUAUCUAUAUCCAAAGUGUAAAUCUGCAAA
Long non-coding RNA from Lagopus muta (rock ptarmigan), 259 nucleotides. RefSeq lists it as uncharacterized. NCBI's taxonomy places the organism in Eukaryota, Metazoa, Chordata, Aves, Galliformes, Phasianidae. The record is from RefSeq and is a predicted model, not a curated record. The transcript has 3 exons.